This 829-nucleotide long non-coding RNA is filed under the name Nicotiana benthamiana. Its description in RNAcentral is "long non-coding RNA (NBEN_LNC017818)". The record is from RNAcentral. Lineage: Eukaryota; Viridiplantae; Streptophyta; Magnoliopsida; Solanales; Solanaceae.
CUGAGAUGUAAGCCACAACAUAGAUAUAUAUAAUGGGUUAAAUGAUAAACGCAAUUGCAAAAGUAAACAGCAAAAAAAAAAAUUUGAUCUGAGAUUUUUUGUUAUUCCCAUGGGGCUUGGAAGAGCCACACCUACCAAGUUCAUCCUUCUCAUUGCGGUACUCUCUGGGGGCAGUUGCAGGCACCCAGGUAGCACUAAGUGCUUCUGGCCUUGAAUGGACAACCUGGGCACAAGUGCUAUAAAUACUUCAAUAGACCAGGGGGCAGUUGCAGGCACCCAGGUAGCACUAAGUGCUUCUGGCCUUGAAUGGACAACCUGGGCACAAGUGCUAUCAGGGGGAUCGGCCAAUUCAUUCCAUGGUGACAAGGGUUGGGGGCUGUCAACCUCUAUGGCCCUUUUGGACCACGAACUCUGCUAAAAAAAAAGGAAUAAUAAGAAGAAGAUUUAUAGAGGACGAAAGCUACUGCAAACCCUAUCUGCAUUCCUAACAUCAGAAGUUGGAUGGGGAUGUUGGGAGUUUACGAUUCUGGAGUUUGUUAAUAACUUAGACAGAAUUUACACACAUGACCGCGCACAAUUCAGUUUCUGAUGCCCAUAAAUAUGCAAAAUGAGUUAUCUUGUUCAUGGUCUCAGCGUCAAUUAGGCAGGUCAAACUAAAUUUGGUGGGUUAAAGGCUUAAAGCUGGUUUAGACAAUGAAUGCAUCAUGAUCCAAGCUAAAAGUUUACUCGAGUCAAAGAUAGGUUGGGUCAAUCUCGACUAAACAAUGGGUCAAACCUAACCUUACCCAAGUCAAAACCAUUAAAAUGUGUGUGCACAGAGAGAUACAGC